AUUGAACGCUGGCGGCAGGCUUAACACAUGCAAGUCGAACGAGUGGCGGACGGGUGAGUAAUGUCUGGGAAACUGCCCGAUGGCGGGGGAUAACUACUGGAAACGGUAGCUAAUACCGCAUACCAUCGGAUGUGCCCAGAUGGGAUUAGCUUGUAGGUGAGGUAACGGCUCACCUAGGCGACGACCCCUAGCUGGUCUGAGAGGAUGACCAGCAACACGGGAACUGGAAAACGGUCCGGACUCCUACGGGAGGCAGCAGUGGGAAAUAUUGCACAAUGGGCGCAAGCCUGAUGCAGCCAUGCCGCGUGUAUGAGGAAGGCCUUCGGGUUGUAAAGUACUUUCAGCGGGGAGGCGUUACCCGCAGAAGAAGCACCGGCUAACUACGUGCCAGCAGCCGCGGUAAUAC
This 406-nucleotide ribosomal RNA is filed under the name uncultured bacterium. RNAcentral describes it as "partial 16S ribosomal RNA". It matches the Rfam family "Bacterial small subunit ribosomal RNA", at positions 30 to 526 of the family's 1533-position model. The record is from RNAcentral.